UAAAAUUCUUUCCGAAAAGGUCAACCGGCGACCUUUUGAUUAAGCUUCCGAGGACAAUUCUUGAGCGAAGACGAACAACAAGCCAGCGGCGAUUAUGGUUUAAAUAAAUUAAACCAACAAUCAACGGCUAACAAUGGGCUUUAGAUUACCCGGGGAAAUCCGGUUACCCGUAUAUGUUCAAACAAAGAUUUUUCAAAAGCUGAACUGGAUUCUCUGGAAUUGGAAGAAGUUGACGAAAAUUAUUAUUCACUGGAGUUGUAUUGGCCAACCUGAACUCAGUCCCGUGCGUCAUGAAACCGAAUGCAACUAUGGACACGAUGGAAGUGAAACAAUAACUAUGGAUGGUUGACUAAUAAGUACAAUCUUAAAUAAUCAACUCUCCGGAUACUAUGAUGA
Uranotaenia lowii is the source of this 396-nucleotide long non-coding RNA. RefSeq lists it as uncharacterized. The record is from RefSeq and is a predicted model, not a curated record. The transcript has 3 exons. Lineage: Eukaryota; Metazoa; Arthropoda; Insecta; Diptera; Culicidae.